Molecule: ribosomal RNA, 253 nt
Filed under: uncultured bacterium
Lineage: Bacteria
Description: partial 16S ribosomal RNA
Rfam family: Bacterial small subunit ribosomal RNA
Source: RNAcentral
UACGAAGGGGGCAAGCGUUAUUCGGAAUGAUUGGGUGUAAAGGGCGUGUAGGCGGCUUGAUAAGUCUGUUGUUUAAUUUUCCAGCCUAACUGGAAGUCUGCAGCGGAUACUGUCUUGCUUGAGUAUGAUAGAGAAAAGUGGAAUUCUCGGAGUAGCGGUAAAAUGCGUAGAUCUCGAGAGGAACGCCAAUGGCGAAGGCAGCUUUUUGGAUCAUUACUGACGCUAAUGCGCGAAGGCGUGGGGAGCAAACAGG